Molecule: ribosomal RNA, 251 nt
Filed under: uncultured prokaryote
Description: partial 16S rRNA
Rfam family: Bacterial small subunit ribosomal RNA
Source: RNAcentral
ACGGAGGGUGCGAGCGUUAUUCGGAAUUACUGGGCGUAAAGCGCGUGCAGGCGGUUAUGCAAGACUGAUGUGAAAGCCCCGGGCUUAACCCGGGAACUGCAUUUGAAACUGUCUUUCUUGAGUACUGGAGAGGAAGGUGGAAUUCCCCGUGUAGCGGUGAAAUGCGUAGAGAUGGGGAGGAAUACCAGUGGCGAAGGCGCCCUUCUGGACGGUUACUGACGCUGAGACGCGAAAGCGUGGGGAGCAAACAG